AAGUCGUAACAAGGUCUCCGUUGGUGAACCAGCGGAGGGAUCAUUACCGAGUUUACAACUCCCAAACCCCUGCUGAACAUACCUUAAUGUUGCCUCGGCGGAUCAGCCCGCGCCCCGAAACGGGAACGGCCGCCAGCAGGACCGAACAUCUAAUGUUUCUUAUUGUAACUUCUGAGUAAAGCAAACAAAUAAAUCAAAA
This 199-nucleotide unclassified non-coding RNA is filed under the name plant metagenome. RNAcentral's name for it is "partial contains small subunit ribosomal RNA and internal transcribed spacer 1". The stretch from base 1 to 46 matches the Rfam family "Eukaryotic small subunit ribosomal RNA", at positions 1786 to 1831 of the family's 1831-position model. The record is from RNAcentral.